Molecule: ribosomal RNA, 296 nt
Filed under: Staphylococcus aureus
Lineage: Bacteria; Bacillati; Bacillota; Bacilli; Caryophanales; Staphylococcaceae
Description: partial 23S ribosomal RNA
Rfam family: Bacterial large subunit ribosomal RNA
Source: RNAcentral
CCCAGCAUGAGUUAUGUCAUGUUAUCGAUAUGUGAAUACAUAGCAUAUCAGAAGGCACACCCGGAGAACUGAAACAUCUUAGUACCCGGAGGAAGAGAAAGAAAAUUCGAUUCCCUUAGUAGCGGCGAGCGAAACGGGAAGAGCCCAAACCAACAAGCUUGCUUGUUGGGGUUGUAGGACACUCUAUACGGAGUUACAAAGGACGACAUUAGACGAAUCAUCUGGAAAGAUGAAUCAAAGAAGGUAAUAAUCCUGUAGUCGAAAAUGUUGUCUCUCUUGAGUGGAUCCUGAGUACG